RNAcentral lists this ribosomal RNA (466 nucleotides) under Cladosporium sp. H31. RNAcentral's name for it is "eukaryotic LSU rRNA". The stretch from base 140 to 293 matches the Rfam family "5.8S ribosomal RNA". The record is from RNAcentral. Lineage: Eukaryota; Fungi; Ascomycota; Dothideomycetes; Cladosporiales; Cladosporiaceae.
ACCACCGGGAUGUUCAUAACCCUUUGUUGUCCGACUCUGUUGCCUCCGGGGCGACCCUGCCUUCGGGCGGGGGCUCCGGGUGGACACUUCAAACUCUUGCGUAACUUUGCAGUCUGAGUAAACUUAAUUAAUAAAUUAAAACUUUUAACAACGGAUCUCUUGGUUCUGGCAUCGAUGAAGAACGCAGCGAAAUGCGAUAAGUAAUGUGAAUUGCAGAAUUCAGUGAAUCAUCGAAUCUUUGAACGCACAUUGCGCCCCCUGGUAUUCCGGGGGGCAUGCCUGUUCGAGCGUCAUUUCACCACUCAAGCCUCGCUUGGUAUUGGGCAACGCGGUCCGCCGCGUGCCUCAAAUCGACCGGCUGGGUCUUCUGUCCCCUAAGCGUUGUGGAAACUAUUCGCUAAAGGGUGUUCGGGAGGCUACGCCGUAAAACAACCCCAUUUCUAAGGUUGACCUCGGAUCAGGUAGG